GUAAAAAUCUCCUCUUUCUGGAAGCUCAUCUUUCUGCUUUGGAGCUGCCAUUACUACUACUGAACAGCAACCUAUUGUGCCCUUUGAUUCAUAUAGAUGUAGUCUUGACUGUCUCAACAUCUGAACUGUGACCUCAGAGCUUAUUCUUCAACCCAAAAGGAUUUCUCAUCACCAUCUGGCUCUUUUGGCAAAUCGGCAAGAAUUCACCCAGAAAGGGUGUUUUCUAAGGCAAGUGUUGAAAGUCAACGGAAAUCCAUCAGAGAAGGUCCGUCAUGCACUGACGUACAGUUAAAACCAUGUUAAUCUCAAAGUUGCAAAUUGGAGCCUCUUCCUUUUUCUUGCCACUGUGCAGGGUGUCCUUCAGGUCUCCUUCCAGCAUCAUGUGUGAGAGCCUGUCCAAAGAGAUUUGACAAGGGCCCUGCAAGGAGAAAGAAAUAAAACCCAGAGAGAUGAGGCAAACAUAUUAAUCUUGUUAAGUUAAACGCCGACCCCCACCUCCUCUCUUCGUGCUUCUCCGCUCGUCUCUGCUCCCCAUUCCCCACACAGAUAAUGUGCUCUGCUCACAGUGAAAAAUCAGCUAAUUUCAGACCACUACUCAGUCUGGCUUACAGAGGCUCUUAGGGUGGUGCAGAGCUGUGUGCAGCUCCUCCAUUAGUCGCCCCCCACCACUGUCUCCGCCUUUGUCACUGUCGCUGUUUCUGUGUCUGACUGUGUCUCUCUGCAACACACACAUUUAAUCUUCAGUCGCUAUCCCUUUUCGCUCUCUCUAUCUCUCUCCGAACACACGCACGCAUACAGGAAACCUUGUGCACAUUUAUCUUACCCUCUCAUCCCCAGUCCAGCUGUGACCUUGAGAUGUUUGAUGGAUGCAGGUCUUUGAGGAAAGUGAGUUUUAAUUUUUAGAUUGACAUGGAUGGGACUGAUAGAUUUUGUUAGUGACAAAGAAACGGGGAGUUGGGUGAAAGACAAAACACAAAAUCACACAAAUUACAAGCAGAAGAGGAGGAAAAUGUAGAGGCUUCCACAGUCUGUAGAGCUGAUGGACAAUGUUUCCCCCUUGUGGUGCUGGCAAGCAGGUAGGAUAUCUUUUGUGUGCAUUUUUGAAACCCAA
Long non-coding RNA from Xiphophorus couchianus (Monterrey platyfish), 1111 nucleotides. RefSeq lists it as uncharacterized. The record is from RefSeq and is a predicted model, not a curated record. Lineage: Eukaryota; Metazoa; Chordata; Actinopteri; Cyprinodontiformes; Poeciliidae. The transcript is spliced from 3 exons.